CUACUGGAAAUGCUGAGACGCGAGACGACAGUCAGCCCAGGUUCAGUUGGUUUGCAGCUGAAAAGAGAACACAUUUUUAAAUAAAUUCAUUGACGUUUUGAAAGUGCUAUUGGGAAAUAACAACCCUUUCCUGUAAGUCUUCUCCAGCUACUACCGCAAAACAUUUUCACCUUUCUCGGCCCGGUCAAUAUCAACCACGCAUUGGCCACACGGUUGUGAAUAUUGAUGUCCCAGAGAUGGAUAUCAUGGAGGAUUUGACGGCAGAAACGGCCAUGGACGGAAACGGAAUGAUUUCCAACUAUCCAAAUAUGUCUCAUUCUCUGGACAACCGAUAUGGACUAUGUAAUCUUUCACGCUAUGCUAGUUUGCCUUUUUGUGCGAACAAAAGCUCUGGGAUAGAGGAAUUCAGACCGGAUUACUCUCAUGGCUUUGCUAUGCAACGCAUCAUUUCUAUAGUGGUUCCAAUCAUAUUUGGAAUUAUUGUUGUAGUUGGGUUUAUUGGCAAUGCUCUGGUUGUGGUUGUUGUUGCGGCAAAUCAGCAGAUGCGCAACACAACAAACUUGCUCAUCAUCAAUUUAGCCCUGGCUGAUCUUUUAUUUAUCGUUUUCUGUGUUCCUUUCACUGCCUCCGACUAUGCUUUACCUUUUUGGCCAUUUGGCGACGCCUGGUGCAAAAUAGUUCAAUACCUAGUGAUUGUAACAGCAUAUGCCAGCGUGUACACUUUGGUUCUUAUGUCGCUUGAUCGCUAUCUAGCUGUCGUUCAUCCAAUUACUUCAAUGUCGAUUCGAACGGAAGUGAACACCUACUGGGCCAUUGCCGUCACUUGGGUUGUUAUCUUCGUGGCCUGUGUCCCAUUGCUAAUGGCGCAUGGAGAAGUUAUGUACCUCUUUGCCGAGGAAGAAUAUUCCGUAUGCGUAUUUCUCCAAAAGGAGGGAUGGAGCUACCAUGUCUUUCAGAUCACUUUUUUUGCAACAUCUUACGUCAUUCCACUAUUACUGAUUUGCGGAUUGUAUAUAUGUAUGCUUAUGCGUUUAUGGAGAGGAGUAGCUCCAGGUGGGCGCGUCUCGGCUGAGAGCCGACGCGGUAAAAAACGUGUCACACGUAUGGUUUGCAUUGUAGUCGUUAUAUUUGCCGUGUGUUGGUGUCCCAUCCAACUUGUUCUAGUUUUAAAGAGUCUGGCCUUGUUCGAGAUCACACCCUUUACAGUCAUGAUACAAAUAAUUUCCCACGUAUUAGCAUAUAUGAAUUCCUGUGUAAACCCCUUUUUGUAUGCAUUGAUAUCCGACAAUUUUCGUAAAGCUUUUCGGAAAAUUGUUUACUGUCGAUCUUUGGGAUUCGCCCUUCCAAGUUGUGAACAGCGCCAUCAACCAAACAACGGCGAAAAGUCAGACAUUCGGCAGCCUCUUUUUACUGGAAAUACAGGCAACACCGGCAAUACUGGUUUCACGGGAAACACCAACAUGAUGAAAUCUACUGUAGUUCACGCUUCUAAUAACGCUGAAGCUGAAGCGAUCGACAUUCUUUAAGCUAUCUGGAACCUGCAAACUCGUCUCCUGUUUUGAUAUCCUUAUCCUCAUUUGAAGCCGGAAAUUUGCAAAACUGCAAGAUACACUUCUUGACUAAAGGAAGUACCUAGGCGAAUGUAUGUUAUAAAAUCUAGGGUAGACCGCUGACCGCUGUUUGUGACAAGGCCGUUUUAUCUUUACGACCACAUUGGCCGUAAAGAUGCGUCAUCCUUUUGAAACUUACCCAACCAAAUCCAAAUGGAUAUACUACUGACCGCAACUAUUGGCAGAUUUUCCAUUUUCGUUCCUUGCAAUUUAUAAAAUAUGUAAUCGUUUCCAGUUGUAAAUACUAGUUCAAGAAUCGUUAAGACCGGUUAAGACACAUGAUUGACUUAACGAAAUAAGUUCGAGAAACAUUCUUUUUAUCAGUUUCCUUCUAUUGAAUCCCAUGAAAUAUUGUUAAUUUAAGACAAAUCACACAGGAAUAGGAUGUUUAAUGAAAAUAAAAUUGAAAACGAAA
Molecule: RNA transcript, 2025 nt
Organism: Daphnia magna
Lineage: Eukaryota; Metazoa; Arthropoda; Branchiopoda; Diplostraca; Daphniidae
Gene name: allatostatin-A receptor
Exons: 6
Source: RefSeq, a predicted model, not a curated record